CCUACGGGUGGCAGCAGUGAGGAAUAUUGGUCAAUGGUCGCAAGCCUGAACCAGCCAAGUAGCGUGAAGGAUGACGGCCCUACGGGUUGUAAACUUCUUUUAUACGGGGAUAAAGUGCGUCACGUGUGCCGUUUUGUAUGUACUGUAUGAAUAAGGAUCGGCUAACUCCGUGCCAGCAGCCGCGGUAAUACGGAGGGUCCGGGCGUUAUCCGGAUUUAUUGGGUUUAAGGGGAGCGUAGAUGGGUUGUUAAGCUAGCUGUGAAAGGUUGGGGCUCAACCGUCAAAUUGCAGUUGAUACUGGCAGUCUUGAGUACAGUGGAGGUAGGCGGAAUUCGUGGUGUAGCGGUGAAAUGCUUAGAUAUCACGAAGAACUCCGAUUGCGAAGGCAGCAUACUAAACCGCUACUGACGCUGAUGCUCGAAAGUGCGGGUAUCAAACAGGAUUAGAUACCCGAGUAGUC
This 460-nucleotide ribosomal RNA is filed under the name uncultured bacterium. RNAcentral describes it as "partial 16S ribosomal RNA". It matches the Rfam family "Bacterial small subunit ribosomal RNA", at positions 338 to 795 of the family's 1533-position model. The record is from RNAcentral.